Molecule: unclassified non-coding RNA, 504 nt
Filed under: Hevea brasiliensis (rubber tree)
Lineage: Eukaryota; Viridiplantae; Streptophyta; Magnoliopsida; Malpighiales; Euphorbiaceae
Source: RNAcentral
CACAAAAAGAAAUAUAUUCUUUUUAUAAAUAGAGCAAUAAACAAGAAGUUAAAUAAAUUAAAUAUUCUCAUUAUUAUGCUCAGCUUGAACUGCGAUCACAUACAAACCCACCUGCCAAACAAGAAAACUGCUUAUUCCUCCCAAUAGAAAAGAACAUUUGCAAGGGAAAGGAGCAGUGCUCAAAUGGUAGAAAGCUGCCUUAACUCUCCCUACAAGAUUCACAUUAACCAGCUUCUCAUCAUGUUCAAAUGAAUAAAAUCAACUUCAAUCAUAUACCUAUGCACACUACUGCAGACCAUUAUCAUUGAUGCCAACCAUGACUGACUUCAGUGAAUCAUUCAUCUUCGUCGCUAAGUAAUGCAAAUGAAAAAGGAUAGAAUCUAUAGCCAUCUCCCUCGUAGAACUUGUUUUGGAAUUCCACCCAAUGAAGUCGCAAAGCAUGCAGGAAAGCACUGAGAGUUUCCAUCACCAGUAGCACACCAAUAGUUGCAAAAAUAAAGAUGA